This 236-nucleotide unclassified non-coding RNA is filed under the name Hevea brasiliensis (rubber tree). Lineage: Eukaryota; Viridiplantae; Streptophyta; Magnoliopsida; Malpighiales; Euphorbiaceae. The record is from RNAcentral.
UGGUGUGGAAGGUUGGCAUUGGGGAUGAUAGGUAUAUAAAAUUGCUUCCAUAUUCAAACAGACAUUGGCCUUCUCUUAUAUGUAUGCUUAUAUCAUGAAUUUUUUUAUUGAUAUAUUAUCAAUGGAACGUGAUUGGCUGCAUUAUAUUUAUUACUUGUAUUACUCCUACUUUUAGGUAUGCUAUUAUGGGCAACAUUAUCAUUGCUUUGCCUAUAGUCAGGAGCAUGAACGAUGGA